GGGGUUGUGGCUCAGAGGUAAAGCACUUGCCUACCAUGCAUGAAGCACUGGGUUCGAUCCUCAGCACCA
RNAcentral lists this transfer RNA (69 nucleotides) under Ictidomys tridecemlineatus (thirteen-lined ground squirrel). Its description in RNAcentral is "Spermophilus tridecemlineatus (thirteen-lined ground squirrel) tRNA". It matches the Rfam family "tRNA". Rfam says of the family: Transfer RNA (tRNA) molecules are approximately 80 nucleotides in length. Their secondary structure includes four short double-helical elements and three loops (D, anti-codon, and T loops). Lineage: Eukaryota; Metazoa; Chordata; Mammalia; Rodentia; Sciuridae. The record is from Rfam by way of RNAcentral.